This 433-nucleotide ribosomal RNA is filed under the name uncultured bacterium. Its description in RNAcentral is "partial 16S ribosomal RNA". It matches the Rfam family "Bacterial small subunit ribosomal RNA", at positions 29 to 507 of the family's 1533-position model. The record is from RNAcentral.
AACGAACGCUGGCGGCAUGCCUAACACAUGCCAGUCGAACGAGACCUUCGGGUCUAGUGGCGCACGGGUGCGUAACGCGUGGGAACCUGCCCUUAGGUUCGGAAUAACUCCCCGAAAGGGGUGCUAAUACCGGAUAAUGUCUUCGGACCAAAGAUUUAUCGCCUUUGGAUGGGCCCGCGUUGGAUUAGCUAGUUGGUAGGGUAAAAGCCUACCAAGGCGACGAUCCAUAGCUGGUCUGAGAGGAUGAUCAGCCACACUGGGACUGAGACACGGCCCAGACUCCUACGGGAGGCAGCAGUGGGGAAUAUUGGACAAUGGGCGCAAGCCUGAUCCAGCCAUGCCGCGUGAGUGAUGAAGGCCUUAGGGUUGUAAAGCUCUUUUACCCGGGAUGAUAAUGACAGUACCGGGAGAAUAAGCGCCGGCUAACUCCGUG